Molecule: transfer-messenger RNA, 373 nt
Filed under: Micromonosporaceae
Lineage: Bacteria; Bacillati; Actinomycetota; Actinomycetes; Micromonosporales
Also listed under: 1 other name
Description: Glycomyces sp019710475 Standard tmRNA
Rfam family: transfer-messenger RNA
About the family: Bacterial tmRNA, also known as 10Sa RNA or SsrA, is named for its dual tRNA and mRNA-like properties.
Source: RNAcentral
GGGGCUGAUCGGUUUCGACUCCGUAUGUUGACGUGAGGGAAGCGGGUCGAGGAAGCCAACGCUGUCUCGUAAACCAACGUUGGAAACCAAUAAGUGCCAACGCAAAACGCACUGACUUCGCUCUCGCUGCCUAAGCGACGGUGAAGUUGCCGCUCCAGGGGCGCAUCCGCUCUGGGUUCGCGGCAUCAUGUAAGGAUGCUGGGCCGACGUCUUGAUCGCUGGGACGUCUGCCGAGAUCUUCGGCGAUUAGAGCCCGUCUCACCGACUCGUCCGCGUGAUCGGUGGGGCUCGAAAAAAGACACAGCGGACUGCACCCGGAGAAGUCUCACAGAUGCAGCGGAGGACCAGGGUUCGAUUCCCUGCAGCUCCACAC